GGUUUGCUUUGAAGUCUGUUUUUUUACUUGUGUAUCUGCUUUGUUUAGGGUAGAUCUGUGAGCUGCUAUUUUAUUGAGGUGUGUGAGAUGCUUUCUGUGAGUUGUGAUCUGUUUGGUUCAUCUUUGAGUUGCGUUCUAUGGUCGAUGAUGUAGUCAUUAGUGUGCACUGGGAGGCAUUUAUUUUGCAGUCGUGUACACAUCAUAUUGUUCUUGAUUCAUGUUGCAAGCAUGUUGAUGCAUAGCAGGGUAUGAUUAGCUGAACUGUUCUUAUAUGUCAUUGUAAUACCUAAAAAUUUGCUUUUGAAUUAAUAGGAUUUAAUGAGAAUUAUUUAAGCAAUUUCUGUGGGCAUUUAAUCUAGUAAAUAAAAUAUUUUUGGUCAAAAUUAAAAUUCAUUAUAAGUUAGUAAACUUGAUUGUGCAUUCAUGCUGAGGUAUAUUUUAUUUUGUGCUAAUUUCUUUUUGGUUGGAUUUUGGUUGCUCUCAAAACCCUAUUUAAAAAGGCUUUAGAAAACAGAAAAAGAAAAAUAGAAAAAAAAAAAGAAAACCCCAGCCGAACCCCCUCACCCCACGCGCGGCCCAGUUCUCCAACCAGCCAGCGCCCAGCCCAACUCCCCCUUCACCCGGCUCAGCGAGAGGCCCAGCUCGCCCCGCGCGCGCCUCCCCCUUCUCCCUUCCGCUGAUGGCCGGCCCCCACCUCUUCUCUCUCUGCCACGCGGCCCCACUGCGCAGUGCCCCCUUCUCCUUCCUGGCGCCGUGGUCGAGCAGGUCUCCACCGGGGGAAACUAACUCCGCCUAUUCCGCGAUUUCUUGCCUUUUUGCGCAAACCAAGGCCCUAUAAAUCUUCUACGACCCCGCCGUGACCCCCUUUGUUGUUUCUUUGCACCUCGGGAACCCUAGCCGUCGAGUUCGUUGAAUUUUGGAUCACACCGAAGCGAGUUUUUAUUCCUCACCGUGAACCGAGUGUUUCGUUCUUCCUCGGCCCGAGCAAAGCCUG
Molecule: long non-coding RNA, 994 nt
Filed under: Sorghum bicolor (sorghum)
Lineage: Eukaryota; Viridiplantae; Streptophyta; Magnoliopsida; Poales; Poaceae
Description: long non-coding RNA (SBIC_LNC017059)
Source: RNAcentral